Molecule: ribosomal RNA, 1444 nt
Filed under: Bacillus sp. hb98
Lineage: Bacteria; Bacillati; Bacillota; Bacilli; Caryophanales; Bacillaceae
Description: bacterial SSU rRNA
Rfam family: Bacterial small subunit ribosomal RNA
Source: RNAcentral
CUAAUACAUGCCAGUCGAGCGGACAGAUGGGAGCUUGCUCCCUGAUGUUAGCGGCGGACGGGUGAGUAACACGUGGGUAACCUGCCUGUAAGACUGGGAUAACUCCGGGAAACCGGGGCUAAUACCGGAUGCUUGUUUGAACCGCAUGGUUCAGACAUAAAAGGUGGCUUCGGCUACCACUUACAGAUGGACCCGCGGCGCAUUAGCUAGUUGGUGAGGUAACGGCUCACCAAGGCGACGAUGCGUAGCCGACCUGAGAGGGUGAUCGGCCACACUGGGACUGAGACACGGCCCAGACUCCUACGGGAGGCAGCAGUAGGGAAUCUUCCGCAAUGGACGAAAGUCUGACGGAGCAACGCCGCGUGAGUGAUGAAGGUUUUCGGAUCGUAAAGCUCUGUUGUUAGGGAAGAACAAGUGCCGUUCAAAUAGGGCGGCACCUUGACGGUACCUAACCAGAAAGCCACGGCUAACUACGUGCCAGCAGCCGCGGUAAUACGUAGGUGGCAAGCGUUGUCCGGAAUUAUUGGGCGUAAAGGGCUCGCAGGCGGUUUCUUAAGUCUGAUGUGAAAGCCCCCGGCUCAACCGGGGAGGGUCAUUGGAAACUGGGGAACUUGAGUGCAGAAGAGGAGAGUGGAAUUCCACGUGUAGCGGUGAAAUGCGUAGAGAUGUGGAGGAACACCAGUGGCGAAGGCGACUCUCUGGUCUGUAACUGACGCUGAGGAGCGAAAGCGUGGGGAGCGAACAGGAUUAGAUACCCUGGUAGUCCACGCCGUAAACGAUGAGUGCUAAGUGUUAGGGGGUUUCCGCCCCUUAGUGCUGCAGCUAACGCAUUAAGCACUCCGCCUGGGGAGUACGGUCGCAAGACUGAAACUCAAAGGAAUUGACGGGGGCCCGCACAAGCGGUGGAGCAUGUGGGUUUAAUUCGAAGCAACGCGAAGAACCUUACCAGGUCUUGACAUCCUCUGACAAUCCUAGAGAUAGGACGUCCCCUUCGGGGGCAGAGUGACAGGUGGUGCAUGGUUGUCGUCAGCUCGUGUCGUGAGAUGUUGGGUUAAGUCCCGCAACGAGCGCAAACCCUUGAUCUUAGUUGCCAGCAUUCAGUUGGGCACUCUAAGGUGACUGCCGGUGACAAACCGGAGGAAGGUGGGGAUGACGUCAAAUCAUCAUGCCCCUUAUGACCUGGGCUACACACGUGCUACAAUGGGCAGAACAAAGGGCAGCGAAACCGCGAGGUUAAGCCAAUCCCACAAAUCUGUUCUCAGUUCGGAUCGCAGUCUGCAACUCGACUGCGUGAAGCUGGAAUCGCUAGUAAUCGCGGAUCAGCAUGCCGCGGUGAAUACGUUCCCGGGCCUUGUACACACCGCCCGUCACACCACGAGAGUUUGUAACACCCGAAGUCGGUGAGGUAACCUUUUUGGAGCCAGCCGCCGAAGGGGGCCCUUAU